GAGGUCGAGGGUUCGAACCCNCCUGCCUUACAAGCAGGGGGUCACAGGUUCGAGCCCUGUUGGUCCCACCA
RNAcentral lists this transfer RNA (71 nucleotides) under Clostridioides difficile. Its description in RNAcentral is "tRNA-Val(tac)". The stretch from base 9 to 68 matches the Rfam family "tRNA". Rfam says of the family: Transfer RNA (tRNA) molecules are approximately 80 nucleotides in length. Their secondary structure includes four short double-helical elements and three loops (D, anti-codon, and T loops). Further hydrogen bonds mediate the characteristic L-shaped molecular structure. tRNAs have two regions of fundamental functional importance: the anti-codon, which is responsible for specific mRNA codon recognition, and the 3' end, to which the tRNAs corresponding amino acid is attached (by aminoacyl-tRNA synthetases). tRNAs cope with the degeneracy of the genetic code in two manners: having more than one tRNA (with a specific anti-codon) for a particular amino acid; and 'wobble' base-pairing, i.e. permitting non-standard base-pairing at the 3rd anti-codon position. Lineage: Bacteria; Bacillati; Bacillota; Clostridia; Peptostreptococcales; Peptostreptococcaceae. The record is from RNAcentral.